Molecule: ribosomal RNA, 466 nt
Filed under: uncultured bacterium
Lineage: Bacteria
Description: partial 16S ribosomal RNA
Rfam family: Bacterial small subunit ribosomal RNA
Source: RNAcentral
GAUGAACGCUGGCGGCGUGCCUAACACAUGCAAGUCGAACGGAAAGGCUCCUGCUUGCCGGGGCACUCGAUUGGCGAACGGGUGAGUAACACGCGGGUGAUCCCUCCUGCACUUCGGGAUAAGCCUGGGAAACUGGGUCUCUUACCGCAUAUGACGUUGUUAUCGAUGCCAUUCUGGAAUGUUUUUCCGUCUUGGUAUGACGUGUCGGCCUAUCCGCUUGUCGUUGGGGUAAUGGUCUACCAAGGCGUUGGCGGGUCGCCGACCUGAGAGGGUGUCAUGCGACAUUGGGACUGAGGUGCGGCCCAGACUGCUACGGGAGGCAGCGGUGGGAAAUAUUGCAGAAUGAGCGCAAGGCGGAUGCAGCGGCGCCGCGUGGGGGAUAACGGCCUUCGGGUUGUAAACUACUUUCGCAAGGGACGAAGCGCAAGUGACGGUACCUGGAGAAGAAGCACCGGCCAACUACGUG